AUUUUCUGAUUUUUGCCUCUCUUUUUUGGUCCCUGUUUGAUUUGAUUUGCAAAAAGGCACUCCAUCUGGGAACAGCUUUGACAACCUAAUUCCAUUCUCAAAGUAUCCAUAUCAAGAAUCUGACUACAGGAGUGAGGAAAUUGUUAAGUCCAUGAAAGAAGAGAAAAAAAGAAAGAAAAUGGAAGCCAUUGCUGAAGACUUGUUUAACAAUGAAAAGGGGAGACAGCGUGGUACUGCUGGUUCUCUAUGAGGACUUCUUAGUCGUUGCUAAUAAAUAUGAGCUGCUAGCUCCGACAGGAAAAUAUAAGGGUCAACUACUUAGGCAUACUCUGAAAUGCCAUUUUUUUCAAUCUUAUAUAACAUGUUGAAAUCUGCAAAGUUCAUCAGAGAAAUUAUCCUGUCAAAUGGGUUGGCUGACACUGAAAAACUAAUCAAAAUGGAAGUUCUUUUCUGUCUCCAUCUUCGCAUAAACAACUGUAGUUUUUGGGAGGAUUAGUUGUAUUUGUUCUACAUCAAAUCAA
This is a long non-coding RNA of Ziziphus jujuba (common jujube), 521 nucleotides long. RefSeq lists it as uncharacterized. The transcript has 3 exons. The record is from RefSeq and is a predicted model, not a curated record. NCBI's taxonomy places the organism in Eukaryota, Viridiplantae, Streptophyta, Magnoliopsida, Rosales, Rhamnaceae.